ACUCUGAGAGAGAGUAACAGUACGUGAAACCGCAUGCAGGUAAACGGGUGGCGUCAAGCUGCAAGCUCAGAGGAUUCAGCCGGCUAGGAUGUUGUGUAUGCGCCUGGCGCAUCCAUCAGUCAGAGUAUGAUUAGAUAGUCCACUGGUAAACGGUGGGCCCGACCGCAAGGUUGGGAUAUGUGUACCGGGUGGGUGCCGGAGCAUGCUAUCUGUCUAGGGACUGUCUAGCCGGUGCACUUUCUCUGUGGCUGACACCACGACCGGUGGUAUUGCCAGUCUGCUGUGUCCAAGUCGUAUCCGGUAGGUCCUUGUGGCCAACUGGGUGCGAUCACAGACAAACUCAGUAUACGGCGUAGAGGGGUUUCGGCUUCUUUGCGUGUUAUCGGCUACUGGUUGUCAACGGGCUGCCUAGUGUUUGUUGUAAUCGGCACUUGGGUAGUCUGGUGGGGCAUGGUGGUAAGAAUAACUGUGCAAGGCACCGGAUUUAUCGGCCUCAAAUGCACUCCGCGCCCAUGUUACAAGUGGUGCUAUGGUGGUGCCGUCGCUGCCUGCUCGGUGUUGGGUCUGAUUGUCGUGUCGCCUGCGAAAAGUGGGCCCGGCUUUGGCUCGACUCGAGAUGGGUAGUGUAUGGUGUCGUCAGUGCGGAGUGUGGUGGGCCUAAUAGUCAGUGGUGUAGUGGUAGACGAGCUACCCGACCCGUCUUGAAACACGGAC
RNAcentral lists this ribosomal RNA (714 nucleotides) under Acanthobothrium sp. 1. RNAcentral's name for it is "partial large subunit ribosomal RNA". The record is from RNAcentral. Lineage: Eukaryota; Metazoa; Platyhelminthes; Cestoda; Tetraphyllidea; Onchobothriidae.